RNAcentral lists this transfer RNA (86 nucleotides) under Clostridia bacterium. RNAcentral describes it as "tRNA-Leu". It matches the Rfam family "tRNA". Rfam says of the family: Transfer RNA (tRNA) molecules are approximately 80 nucleotides in length. Their secondary structure includes four short double-helical elements and three loops (D, anti-codon, and T loops). Lineage: Bacteria; Bacillati; Bacillota; Clostridia. The record is from RNAcentral.
GCCGGAGUGGUGGAAUGGCAGACGCGAUGGACUCAAAAUCCAUUAUGGGCGACCAUGUGUGGGUUCAAGUCCCACCUUCGGCACCA